CAAUGUUUUUGCAAAUUUGCACACAAAGUAAAUCUUUGCACACAAGUACAUUUGCUAUUGUAAUAAUUCAAUGCAAAAUAUCAGUCAUAUGAACACCAUAUAACUAUAAGAGGAAGUAGUAUAAGAAACUUACAU
Long non-coding RNA from Salarias fasciatus (jewelled blenny), 135 nucleotides. RefSeq lists it as uncharacterized. The transcript has 3 exons. The record is from RefSeq and is a predicted model, not a curated record. Lineage: Eukaryota; Metazoa; Chordata; Actinopteri; Blenniiformes; Blenniidae.